Molecule: ribosomal RNA, 427 nt
Filed under: uncultured bacterium
Lineage: Bacteria
Description: partial 16S ribosomal RNA
Rfam family: Bacterial small subunit ribosomal RNA
Source: RNAcentral
UGGGGAAUAUUGGACAAUGGGCGAAAGCCUGAUCCAGCCAUGCCGCGUGUGUGAAGAAGGUCUUCGGAUUGUAAAGCACUUUAAGUUGGGAGGAAGGGCAUUAACCUAAUACGUUAGUGUUUUGACGUUACCGACAGAAUAAGCACCGGCUAACUCUGUGCCAGCAGCCGCGGUAAUACAGAGGGUGCAAGCGUUAAUCGGAAUUACUGGGCGUAAAGCGCGCGUAGGUGGUGUGUUAAGUUGGAUGUGAAAUCCCCGGGCUCAACCUGGGAACUGCAUUCAAAACUGACUGACUAGAGUAUGGUAGAGGGUGGUGGAAUUUCCUGUGUAGCGGUGAAAUGCGUAGAUAUAGGAAGGAACACCAGUGGCGAAGGCGACCACCUGGACUAAUACUGACACUGAGGUGCGAAAGCGUGGGGAGCAAACA